UCGUCUCAUCUCUACUCUCAUAGACUGACAGCUCUGUUUGAACAGCGAGGGCAUUUACAGAGGAAACAGGGUCACAUGUCCCUCGGCACCAACUGCUUCACGGAACGGAUCAUCCACAGGAAGUUUGCCGUGUCAGUGAAGAUUGCUGACACUAAGGGCAGUCGAAAGUGCAGUGUGGCUCGUAACCCUUACACAGACAGCACGUUCUUGUGUGCUGCAGUUCCCUCUGGUCUUGUGCUAUUGUUGUGGUAUGAACCGCUGCAGAAGUUCAUGCAC
Long non-coding RNA from Sinocyclocheilus rhinocerous, 276 nucleotides. RefSeq lists it as uncharacterized. The transcript has 3 exons. NCBI's taxonomy places the organism in Eukaryota, Metazoa, Chordata, Actinopteri, Cypriniformes, Cyprinidae. The record is from RefSeq and is a predicted model, not a curated record.